UGGGGCAUCGUCUAAUGGCAGGACAGCGGAUUCUGGUUCCGCCGGUUGGGGUUCGAAUCCCUGUGCCCCAG
This 71-nucleotide transfer RNA is filed under the name Fidelibacterota bacterium. RNAcentral's name for it is "tRNA-Gln". It matches the Rfam family "tRNA". From Rfam's summary of the family: Transfer RNA (tRNA) molecules are approximately 80 nucleotides in length. Their secondary structure includes four short double-helical elements and three loops (D, anti-codon, and T loops). The record is from RNAcentral. Lineage: Bacteria; Pseudomonadati; Fidelibacterota.